This is a non-coding RNA of Stegodyphus mimosarum, 73 nucleotides long. NCBI's taxonomy places the organism in Eukaryota, Metazoa, Arthropoda, Arachnida, Araneae, Eresidae. The record is from Rfam.
GCCUUCGAGGUGUAGUGGUCUGCAUGCUCGACACGUAAUCGAGAGGUCUGUGGUUCGAUUCCCGGCGAAGGCG